CGGAACACGUACAGAACCUUCCUUCGAGCGGGGAAUAGCCCAGAGAAAUUUGGAUUAAUACCCCAUAGUAUAAUGGAGAGGCAUCUCUUUGUUAUUAAAGAUUUAUCACUUGAAGAUGGCUGUGCGGCUGAUUAGGUAGUUGGCGGGGUAACGGCCCACCAAGGCGACGACGGGUAGCUGGUCUGAGAGGAUGGCCAGCCACAUUGGGACUGAGAGACGGCCCAG
Molecule: ribosomal RNA, 225 nt
Filed under: uncultured bacterium
Lineage: Bacteria
Description: partial 16S ribosomal RNA
Rfam family: Bacterial small subunit ribosomal RNA
Source: RNAcentral